Molecule: long non-coding RNA, 775 nt
Organism: Ahaetulla prasina
Lineage: Eukaryota; Metazoa; Chordata; Lepidosauria; Squamata; Colubridae
Exons: 4
Source: RefSeq, a predicted model, not a curated record
CAGAGAACAAACCUCCACCCUCAACUUAUUGUGUUUCUACUACCUUUCAGGGCAAUCUACAGGAGUGGGGAAGUUUUAGAAAAAAUGAAAGUGGAAUUGCUGCGUAAUCUACCUUGGGCCAUCUAUAAUUCACUUCUUCAUUAAUUUGAUUGCCCAUUUCAAACCAAUGACCCUAAUUAAAUAGAUAGAGUGUAAGUAAAAAGGUGGAUAUGGCAGGAACAGAAGACCUCUUAUGCAAGAAGCAGUGCUUCUCGUGUGGGCAGCUAAGCGCUAAGGCCUAUUUUCAGAGAACUCUCUGGGUGAGUCAAGGGCAGGGCUGGCAACAGUGGUGGUAUUCGGCCAGUUCUACCCGGCUCGGGCGAACCGAUAGCGGCUGCUGCAGGAGACUCCACCCACCCGCCCAAAUGUCAUCACAUCUCAUUUUUAACGAUCUGCUGAUGCAUGGAAGGCCCUGCGCAUGCUCACAUUUGUGGACCAGUAGCGAAGCUGGAAGAAUGGCGCACUGAGGGGUUCAACAACACCAGUGGCAUCACAUCUCACCCAAACCUUCUGAAGAGAACUUUUCUUAACCAGACCUGUAUUUGUGAGCAAAGUUGGAUAGAUGAUAGAGUGUGCUAUUUAUGAGAGGUACAGAAUCUCAGCCACUGGAUAGUAUUACCUCAAGCUUGAUAAACCUAUCUCAUGAAGAUUGUUACAGCUGACAGCAAAGCUAAACUGUUGGUUGUCAGAUAGAAGGCUGCCAUUAAGGAAGCCUGAUCUUCAACAGCUAGAAAUC